UACGGGGGGGGCAAGCGUUGUUCGGAAUUACUGGGCGUAAAGGGUGCGUAGGUGGUUGGAUAAGUCUGAUGUGAAAUCUCCGAGCUUAACUCGGAAAUGGCAUUGGAAACUAUUCGACUAGAGAGUUGGAGGGGGGACUGGAAUACUUGGUGUAGCAGUGAAAUGCGUAGAUAUCAAGUGGAACACCAGUGGCGAAGGCGAGUCCCUGGACAACUUCUGACACUGAGGCACGAAAGCUAGGGGAGCAAACAGG
RNAcentral lists this ribosomal RNA (253 nucleotides) under uncultured bacterium. Its description in RNAcentral is "partial 16S ribosomal RNA". It matches the Rfam family "Bacterial small subunit ribosomal RNA", at positions 524 to 776 of the family's 1533-position model. The record is from RNAcentral.